RNAcentral lists this ribosomal RNA (1349 nucleotides) under Escherichia coli. RNAcentral describes it as "partial 23S ribosomal RNA". It matches the Rfam family "Bacterial large subunit ribosomal RNA", at positions 1614 to 2925 of the family's 2925-position model. The record is from RNAcentral. Lineage: Bacteria; Pseudomonadati; Pseudomonadota; Gammaproteobacteria; Enterobacterales; Enterobacteriaceae.
AAAGCCUCUAAGCAUCAGGUAACAUCAAAUCGUACCCCAAACCGACACAGGUGGUCAGGUAGAGAAUACCAAGGCGCUUGAGAGAACUCGGGUGAAGGAACUAGGCAAAAUGGUGCCGUAACUUCGGGAGAAGGCACGCUGAUAUGUAGGUGAAGCGACUUGCUCGUGGAGCUGAAAUCAGUCGAAGAUACCAGCUGGCUGCAACUGUUUAUUAAAAACACAGCACUGUGCAAACACGAAAGUGGACGUAUACGGUGUGACGCCUGCCCGGUGCCGGAAGGUUAAUUGAUGGGGUUAGCGGUAACGCGAAGCUCUUGAUCGAAGCCCCGGUAAACGGCGGCCGUAACUAUAACGGUCCUAAGGUAGCGAAAUUCCUUGUCGGGUAAGUUCCGACCUGCACGAAUGGCGUAAUGAUGGCCAGGCUGUCUCCACCCGAGACUCAGUGAAAUUGAACUCGCUGUGAAGAUGCAGUGUACCCGCGGCAAGACGGAAAGACCCCGUGAACCUUUACUAUAGCUUGACACUGAACAUUGAGCCUUGAUGUGUAGGAUAGGUGGGAGGCUUUGAAGUGUGGACGCCAGUCUGCAUGGAGCCGACCUUGAAAUACCACCCUUUAAUGUUUGAUGUUCUAACGUUGGCCCGUAAUCCGGGUUGCGGACAGUGUCUGGUGGGUAGUUUGACUGGGGCGGUCUCCUCCUAAAGAGUAACGGAGGAGCACGAAGGUUGGCUAAUCCUGGUCGGACAUCAGGAGGUUAGUGCAAUGGCAUAAGCCAGCUUGACUGCGAGCGUGACGGCGCGAGCAGGUGCGAAAGCAGGUCAUAGUGAUCCGGUGGUUCUGAAUGGAAGGGCCAUCGCUCAACGGAUAAAAGGUACUCCGGGGAUAACAGGCUGAUACCGCCCAAGAGUUCAUAUCGACGGCGGUGUUUGGCACCUCGAUGUCGGCUCAUCACAUCCUGGGGCUGAAGUAGGUCCCAAGGGUAUGGCUGUUCGCCAUUUAAAGUGGUACGCGAGCUGGGUUUAGAACGUCGUGAGACAGUUCGGUCCCUAUCUGCCGUGGGCGCUGGAGAACUGAGGGGGGCUGCUCCUAGUACGAGAGGACCGGAGUGGACGCAUCACUGGUGUUCGGGUUGUCAUGCCAAUGGCACUGCCCGGUAGCUAAAUGCGGAAGAGAUAAGUGCUGAAAGCAUCUAAGCACGAAACUUGCCCCGAGAUGAGUUCUCCCUGACUCCUUGAGAGUCCUGAAGGAACGUUGAAGACGACGACGUUGAUAGGCCGGGUGUGUAAGCGCAGCGAUGCGUUGAGCUAACCGGUACUAAUGAACCGUGAGGCUUAACCUUACAACGCCGAAG